UAGGGAAUAUUGCACAAUGGGGGCAACCCUGACGCAGCGACGCCUCGUGAGUGAGGAAGGCCUUCGGGUCGUAAAGCUCUGUCAAGAGGGAAGAAGUGCAUGGUGGUUAAUAUCUGUCAUGUUUGACGGUACCUCUAAAGGAAGCACCGGCUAACUCCGUGCCAGCAGCCGCGGUAAUACGGAGGGUGCAAGCGUUGUUCGGAAUCACUGGGCGUAAAGGGCGCGCAGGCGGCCUGAUUAGUCAGAUGUGAAAGCCCACGGCUUAACUGUGGAAGUGCAUUUGAAACUGUCAGGCUUGAGUACCAGAGGGGAAAGUGGAAUUCCCGGUGUAGAGGUGAAAUUCGUAGAUAUCGGGAGGAAUACCGGUGGCGAAGGCGACUUUCUGGCUGGAUACUGACGCUGAGGCGCGAAAGCGUGGGGAGCAAACAG
Molecule: ribosomal RNA, 429 nt
Filed under: uncultured bacterium
Lineage: Bacteria
Description: bacterial SSU rRNA
Rfam family: Bacterial small subunit ribosomal RNA
Source: RNAcentral